AUCAGUUGGAAGGACCAGAAUGAUCAAGAGAGAGAGAGAGAAAGAGAACCAGAGUUCUCCGACCCGGGACACGACCCGCGACUGGGCCUGACCGGAAAACGCUUCCCCGGCCAGUUCUCCGCUGCGGACCACCGGGAAAACCCUCGUCUCGUCGGAUUGUACGUGCAAUGGCGGGGAACGGAGCUGUCUCCGGCGAGUUUCUGCAAUUUCCGACCACCGCCUGGGCCGCAUUUGCUAGUGUUCGACGCUGUCACCGUCGCCCGCGACAUUUCCGACUCUUCUCGGUUCGCUUUGGGCUUGGCUUCUGGUUCGACUGCAUCUACAGAAGCGCAAGGACUCUUAUCUUGAAAUUUAGGGUCGGGUUGUACUUUAUCAGUGUCGAGCUUCGUCGAGGUUCCGGAAAACAUUGAGGAUCAAAAUAAGAUGCGUGUAUAGUCGAGUUCUCAGAAGGGGCUGCAAGUUUGGAGAUAGGAGCUUAAGGUCCAACCAGCAUAUAAUACUUCCUGAGGGUAAACUCGAAGUUUGUAUAUCUUGGUUGAUUGUUGGGAUGGUUUCGAACGUGAUCAGGAUGUUGAAAUGGUUGUGUAUCGAUGUUAAGGAGAAGGAAAUACGUUUUGGGUGCCCUUAGUAGUUUGGGCACACCUUGUUUGAGAUUGAUAUUGUAUUGUAUUGUUAUGUUUGAUUUGUGGCUAUUGUUAGUUAAGAAGUAAAAGUACGUAAAUUAUGAGUUGGUGUGAUGUUGAAUGCUUAGAAGUGAACUGAAACUGUGCUAAGAGAUGGGUAAAGUUAUGUGACGAAUUGUCAAGUAAUUGGAAAUUGUUUGUUAACGAAA
Molecule: long non-coding RNA, 832 nt
Organism: Rosa chinensis
Lineage: Eukaryota; Viridiplantae; Streptophyta; Magnoliopsida; Rosales; Rosaceae
Exons: 2
Source: RefSeq, a predicted model, not a curated record